RNAcentral lists this ribosomal RNA (820 nucleotides) under uncultured organism. RNAcentral describes it as "bacterial SSU rRNA". It matches the Rfam family "Bacterial small subunit ribosomal RNA", at positions 40 to 850 of the family's 1533-position model. The record is from RNAcentral.
CGGCGUGGAUUAGGCAUGCAAGUCGAGCGAGAACGGGCCUUUCGGGGCCUUAGUACAGCGGCGAACUGGUGAGUAACAGGUGGGUAACGUGCCCCAAAGUGGGGGAUAACACCGGGAAACCGGUGCUAAUACCGCAUGUGAUCGCCGGGUCCCUGGACCUGGCGGUUAAAGCAGCAAUGCGCUUUGGGAUCGGCCCGCCCCCGAUUAGCUAGUUGGUGAGGUAAGAGCUCACCAAGGCGACGAUCGGUAGCUGGUCUGAGAGGAUGGUCAGCCACACUGGAACUGAGAUACGGUCCAGACUCCUACGGGGGGCAGCAGUCUAGAGGCUUCGGCAAUGGGGGCAACCCUGACCGAGCGACGCCGCGUGUGGGAUCGAAGGCCUUCGGGUCGUAAACCACUGUCAUUGGGGAAGAGUGCCCGCCUGGCGAAGGCGGGAGGGACGGUACCCAAAGAGGAAGCCCCGGCUAACUCCGUGCCAGCAGCCGCGGUAAUACGGAGGGGGCAAGCGUUGUUCGGAUUUACUGGGCGUAAAGGGUGUGUAGGCGGCCGGGUAAGUCUGGUGUGAAAUCUUCACCGCUUAACGGGAAGAGGUCACUGGAAACUGCCGGGCUCGAGUAUGGUAGAGGCAAGCGGAAUUCCUGGUGUAGCGGUGGAAUGUGUAGAUAUCAGGAAGAACAUCUGUGGCGAAGGCGGCUUGCUGGGCCAUCACUGACGCUGAGACACGAAAGCGUGGGGAGCAAACGGGAUUAGAUACCCCGGUAGUCCACGCUGUAAACGGUGCGCACUAGGUGUGAGGGGUAUCGACCCCCCUUGUGCCGAA